GUUGGCCUUCUUGGCCACCUGAGCACACUGCUGGCUCAUCUUCAGCCGACUAUCCACCAAUACUCCCAGGUCCUUCUCUGCCAGGCAGCUUUCUAACCACUCAGACCGCUUUUCCAACCAUCUUUAAACUUCCAGAUCUAGAGGAACACUUUGGCUGCAGCCUAAAAGCCAUGUAUACGUAAGCUGCCCCAAGCCAGCCAAUCUUCUUCCCAUGACCUGCCAGAAAACAGCAAUGGAGGCAUGUAACCAAAUUAAAGCCAAAACUUUCAGCCCAGUCCUUGACCUGAAUAGUGAGUGAGGAUCCCGAUCCUGGCAUUUAUACACGAUAGUUUAUAUGCAGCCGAAGUAAAUACUGUAGUCAGAGGUUGUGGGGUUAGAUUUUGAAAAGUCCUGCAUAAAGAAGAGAUCUCAGAAAAGCACAUUUAAAUAACAUUAAUGUCAAGAAAAGGAAUUCUGAUUGCUACAUUCUUUAUCUGUCGUGACUAGACAGAUGAAAAUCUAUGAUAGCAAUUUUGCCUUUAAGGUCAUUUUCUUUUUUCCUUUAUUUUAUUUUAUUUAUUUAUUUAUUUAUUUAUUUAUUUAUUUAUUUAUUUAUUAACAGGCUCUGUACUAAUUUUCCUCCCAGAAUGACUAACAGAAAUAUGACCCUUGUGCAGCUUUCAUAGUUAAUUCGUUAGGUCAACUCUAACCACUAAGCCCCUUGUCAGGUUAUUUCUAUUAGUGAGAAGGAGCAAUUGACCUUAAAAGACUGAAGCCAGGUAGAUGAGCCUAUUCCAUAAGGCCUCUUGGCUCCAGCCUUGUUUAGUGAAAUCUGCCAGGUGUGGAUCAUUUGAGCUUUGCUAUAUAGGAAGCAUGAGGACUUGUGGGGAAUUGCCUGCUUGGGGGAGUUUGAGGCUCAGGUUUUCUAGGGUGCUUUUCUACCAUGGUGAAAUGGACUCAGUGUUCCCUGUACAGUAAAACCCUGGUGGUACGACUUCACUGUGAAGUAGUUCGGAAGUGGCUCAAGUUCAGAAGCUGGCAGGUAAGUGUUCCUGGGUUCUACAGUUGUUUAAUGUUCAGGAGUUUGAGUAUUUCCUUUGCCUUGUCUGUUUGCAGUGAAAUUACUUAUGUGGAUUCUAAGCUCCCUUUCUAGCCCUUAAAAAUAAAAUAAUAGUAAUAAUACUAAACA
This 1168-nucleotide long non-coding RNA is filed under the name Anser cygnoides (Swan goose). RNAcentral describes it as "lncRNA (ENSACDG00005013503.1)". Lineage: Eukaryota; Metazoa; Chordata; Aves; Anseriformes; Anatidae. The record is from RNAcentral.